This 432-nucleotide ribosomal RNA is filed under the name uncultured bacterium. RNAcentral describes it as "partial 16S ribosomal RNA". It matches the Rfam family "Bacterial small subunit ribosomal RNA", at positions 29 to 506 of the family's 1533-position model. The record is from RNAcentral.
AGCGAACGCUGGCGGCAGGCCUAACACAUGCAAGUCGAACGGAUCCUUCGGGAUUAGUGGCGGACGGGUGAGUAACACGUGGGAACGUGCCCUUUGGUUCGGAACAACUCAGGGAAACUUGAGCUAAUACCGGAUGUGCCCUUCGGGGGAAAGAUUUAUCGCCAUUGGAGCGGCCCGCGUCUGAUUAGCUAGUUGGUGAGGUAACGGCCCACCAAGGCGACGAUCAGUAGCUGGUCUGAGAGGAUGAUCAGCCACACUGGGACUGAGACACGGCCCAGACUCCUACGGAAGGCAGCAGUGGGGAAUCUUGCGCAAUGGGCGAAAGCCUGACGCAGCCAUGCCGCGUGAAUGAUGAAGGUCUUAGGAUUGUAAAAUUCUUUCAGCGGGGACGAUAAUGACGGUACCCGCAGAAGAAGCUCCGGCUAACUUCGU